GAAAGGCGUAGCCAAUGAACAACAGGUGAAUAUUCGUGUAUUAACCCUUGUUGGUCCACUAAAGGACGGAGUAGGUUGGAUUAGACUAAAGAUAUGGUAAUAUGUUGAAGAACGUAAGGUGUCCUUGCUUAUACAGGAUAAGCAGGGAUAGAGAAAAUGCCUCGAGCAAAUGUUUAAACACCAGGAUAAACCAAAAGCUCUUGUUGCAAUCAUCAACUGCAACAUUGAAUUGAGACUUUGCACUUUGCUAAACCCUUUGCGUUUGUAUUAACUUUUGACCUGCAUACAUUUUAUUCUCUCCAGACCUUGCAUAUGAGAUUUUACGAGAUAUGUUGUUGAAAUGCAGAAAUUGGG
This 354-nucleotide unclassified non-coding RNA is filed under the name Hevea brasiliensis (rubber tree). Lineage: Eukaryota; Viridiplantae; Streptophyta; Magnoliopsida; Malpighiales; Euphorbiaceae. The record is from RNAcentral.